RNAcentral lists this long non-coding RNA (14645 nucleotides) under Triticum aestivum (bread wheat). RNAcentral's name for it is "long non-coding RNA (TAES_LNC003377)". Lineage: Eukaryota; Viridiplantae; Streptophyta; Magnoliopsida; Poales; Poaceae. The record is from RNAcentral.
CAUUUUAGUUACGACUAAGUGCCACACCAAUGAAUGUGAAUGUCUGUUCAGGUAAUAAGUAUCACCAUUAGCAAUUUCGUUUGUCCCCAUAGUCUAUGUGUGUCCCAUGUCCUUUCAGCACCUUCUGCUCUUUUCCUGCAUUUUCGCGUACCAUGCUGCAAUGUUGCAUUAGAUUUUGGCCAAAACUUCUUGCCUAGAUAUGGCCAUUUUAUUUUUGCUACACCAUAGUUAGUUAGCUGAGCCAUUUAAAUACAAUUUCAGGGUUUUCUUGUUGCUGCUAUUCCUCGUGGAUAUUCAAGAGGCAACUUGGCACCUAAUGUCAGCAACGUGCUUAUCGGUGACGAGGGAAAUGAAAGAAGGCUGCAAUGGAAUUUGUACUAGGUAUGUUUCUCCGUCUCCUCAACUCUCUAAGUCUUCAUCCCAAUUCCCAGAUAUAGAGAUUGAUAUUGGUCUGUAGCUAGGUUCAAAUAUUUUCUUCCUUACAUUAAGCAACUUCCCUCAAAAAAUAAUGUUUCAUCGUUGUGCCUCUUACAGACUAUAGUACCUAUUACAGACUACAACUUACCUGUAACUCCAAGUCCUAUCAUAAUCUUGGUGGAAUGUGAAAGACAUAAAUCAUAUGUACCAAUAGACCAAAAAAUCCUCUCUGUUGUAAAAUAAAAGAAUUAAGAACUUAAUAGUACGUAGAAAAUAGUGGUAUUAGUUGAAACACCUGUUGGGGAACGUUGCAGAAAAUAAAAAAAUCUACGGUUUCACCAAGAUCAAUCUAUGAGUUCAUCUAGCAACGAGAGAGAGGAGUGGAUCUACAUACCCUUGUAGAUCGAGCGGGAGCAUUCAAGAGAACAGGGUUGAGGGAGUCGUACUCGUCGUGAUCCAAAUCACCGAAGAUCCUAGCGCCGAACGGAUGGCACCUUCGCGUUCAACACACGUACGGUCAGGGAGACGUCUCCUCCUUCUUGAUCCAGCAAGGGGGAAGGAGAUGUUGAUGAAGAUCCAGCAGCACGAUGGCGUGGUGGUGGAUGCAGCAGGGAUCUCGGUAGGGCUUCGCCAAGCGUCUGCUAGAGGGAGAGGUGUAGCAAGGGGGAAGGGAGGCGCGAAGUGCAUGGGUGCGGCUGUCCUCCCUCCCCCCUCUUUAUAUAGGGACCCUAGGGGGGCGCCGGCCCUAGGAGAUUGAAUCUCCAAGGGGGGGCAGCGGCCAAGGGGGUGCCUUGCCCCCCAAGGCAAGUGGAGGCGCCCCCCACCCCUAGGGUUUCCAACCCUAGGCACAGGGGGGCCCAAGGGGGGGCGCACCAGCCCACCAGGGGCUGGUUCCCCUCCCACUUCAGCCCAUGGGGCCCUCCGGGAUAGGUGGCCCCACCCGGUGGACCCCCGGGACCCUUCCGGUGGUCCCAGUACAAUACUGGUGACCCCCGAAACUUUCCCAUGGCCGAAACUCGACUUCCUAUAUAUAAUUCUUUACCUCCGGACCAUUCCGGAACUCCUCGUGACGUCCGAGAUCUCAUCCGGGACUCCGAACAACUUUCGGUUUACUGCAUACUCAUAUCUCUACAACCCUAGCAUUACCGAACCUUAAGUGUGUAGACCCUACGGGUUCGGGAGACAUGCAGACAUGACCGAGAUGCCUCUCCGGUAAAUAACCAAUAGCGGGAUCUGGAUACCCAUGUUGGCUCCCACAUGCUCUUCGAUGAUCUCAUCGGAUGAACCACGACGUAACCCUUUACCAUGAUGUCGAGGAUUCAAACAACCCCGUAUAUAAUUCCCUUUGUCAAUCGGUAUGUUACAUGGCCGAGACUCGAUCAUCGGUAUCCCAAUUCCUUGUUUAAUCUCGUUACCCGAAAGUCACUUUACUCGUACCGUAAUGCAUGAUACCAUGACCAGACACUUGGUCACAUUGAGCUCAUUAUGAUGAUGCAUUACCGAGUGGGCCCAGAGAUACCUCUUUGUCAUACGGAGUGACAAAUCCCCGUCUCGAUUCGUGCCAACCCAACAGACACUUUUGGAGAUACCCAUAGUGCACCUUUAUAGUCACCCAAUUACGUUGUGACGUUUGGUACACCCAAAGCACUCCUAUAGUAUCCGGGAGUUGCACAAUCUCAUGGUCUAAGGAAAUGAAACUUGACAUUUGGAAAAACUCUAGCUAAACGAACAACACGAUCUUUGAGCUAUGCUUAGGAUUGGGUUUUGUCCAUCACAUCGUUCUCCUAAUGAUGUGAUCCCGUUAUCAAUUACAUCCAAUGUCCAUAGUUAGGAAACCAUAAAUAUCUGUUAAUCAACGAGCUAGUCAACUAGAGGCUCACUAGGGACAUGUUGUGGUCUAUGUAUUCACACGUGUAUUACGAUUUUCGGAUAAUACAAUUAUAGCAUGAAUAACAGCCAAUUAUCAUGAACAAAGAAAUAUAAUAAUAACCAUUUUAUUAUUGCCUCUAGGGCAUAUUUCCAAUAGUCUCCCACUUGCACUAGACUUCAAUAAUCUAGUUACAUUGUGAUGAAUCAAACACCCAUGGAAUUCUGGUAUUAUUCAUGUUUUGCCCUAGGGAGAGGUUUAGUCAACGGAUCUGCCACAUUUAGGUCCGUAUGUACUUUACAAAUAUCUAUGUCUCCAUCUUGAACAUUUUCAUGAAUGGAGUUGAAGCGACGCUUGAUGUGCCUGGUCUUCUUGUGAAACCUGGGCUCCUUGGCAAGUGCAAUAACUCCAGUGUUGUCACAGAAGAGUUUGAUCGGCCCCGACGCAUUGGGUAUGACUCCUAGGUCGGUGAUGAACUCCUUCACCCAUAUUGCUUCAUGCGCUGCCUCUGAGGCUGCCAUGUACUCCGCUUCACAUGUAGAUCCCGCCACGACGCUUUGCUUGCAACUGCACCAGCUUACUGCCCCACCAUUCAAAAUAUACACGUAUCCGGUUUGUGACUUCGAGUCAUCCAGAUCUGUGUCGAAGCUAGCAUCGACAUAACCCUUUACGGCGAGCUCUUCGUCACCUCCAUAGACGAGAAACAUGUCCUUUGUCCUUUUCAGGUACUUCAGGAUAUUCUUGACCGCUGUCCAGUGUUCCUUGCCAGGAUUACUUUGGUACCUUCCUACCAAACUUACAGCAAGGUUUACAUCAGGUCUGGUACACAGCAUGGCAUACAUAAUAGAUCCUAUGGCUGAGGCAUAGGGGAUGACACUCAUCUCUUCUUUAUCUUCUGCCAUGGUCGGGCAUUGAGCCGAGCUCAAUCUCACACCUUGCAAUACAGGCAAGAACCCUUUCUUGGACUGAUCCAUAUUGAACUUCUUCAAUAUCUUAUCAAGGUAUGUGCUUUGUGAAAGACCUAUGAGGCGUCAUGAUCUAUCCCUAUAGAUCUUGAUGCCUAAUAUGUAAGCAGCUUCUCCAAGGUCCUUAAUUGAAAAACACUUAUUCAAGUAGGCCUUGAUGCUGUCCAAAAGUUCUAUAUCAUUUCCCAUCAAAAGUAUGUCAUCUACAUAUAAUAUGAGAAAUGCUACAGAGCUCCCACUCACUUUCUUGUAAACGUAGACUUCUCCAUAAGUCUGCAUAAACCCAAACGCUUUGAUCAUCUCAUCAAAGCAAAUGUUCCAACUCCGAGAUGCUUGCACCAGCCCAUAAAUGGAUCGCUGGAGCUUGCAUACGUUGUUAGCAUUCUUAGGAUCGACAAAACCUUCCGGCUGCAUCAUAUACAGUUCUUCCUUAAGAUAAUCGUUAAGGAAUGCCGUUUUGACGUCCAUCUGCCAUAUCUCAUAAUCAUAGUAUGCGGCAAUUCCUAACAUGAUUCGGACGGACUUCAGCUUCGCUACGGGCAAGAAAGUCUCAUCGUAGUCAACUCCUUGAACUUGCCGAUAAUCCUUGGCGACAAGUCGAGCUUUAUAGAUGGUAACAUUACCAUCUACGUCCGUCUUCUUCUUAAAGAUCCAUUUGUUUUCUAUCGCUCGCCGAUCAUCUGGCAAGUCUGUCAAAGUCCAUACUUUGUUUUCAUACAUGGAUUCUAUCUCGGAUUGCAUGGCUUCAAGCCAUUUGUUGGAAUCUGGGCCCGCCAUUGCUUCUUCAUAGUUUGAAGGUUCACCGUUGUCUAACAACAUGAUUUCCAGGACAGGGUUGCCAUACCACUCUGGUGUGGAACGUGUCCUUGUGGACCUACGAAGUGCAGUAGCAACUUGAUCCGAAGUACCUCGAUCAUCAUCAUUAAUUUCCUCUCCAGUCGGUGUAGGCACCACAGGAACAUCUUCCUGAGCUGCGCUACUUACCGGUUCAAGAGGUAGUACUUCAUCAAGUUCCACUUUCGUCCUACUUACUUCUCUCGGGAGAAACUCUUUCUCCAGAAAGGACCCGUUCUUGGCAAUAAAAAUCUUGCCUUCGGAUCUAAGGUAGAAGGUAUACCCAAUGGUUUCCUUAGGGUAUCCUAUGAAGACGCAUUUUUCCGACUUGGGUUCGAGCUUUUCAGGUUGAAGUUUCUUGACAUAAGCAUCGCAUCCCCAAACUUUUAGAAACGACAGCUUAGGUUUCUUCCCAAACCAUAAUUCAUAUGGUGUCGUCUCAACGGAUUUAGACGGUGCCCUAUUUAAAGUGAAUGUAGUUGUCUCUAGAGCGUAUCCCCAAAAAGAUAGCGAUAAAUCGGUAAGAGACAUGAUAGAUCACACCAAAUCCAAUAAAGUGCGAUUGCGAUGUUCGGACACACCGUUACGCUGAGGUGUUCCAGGCGGCGUGAGUUGUGAAACGAUUCCACAUUUCCUUAAGUGCGUACCAAAUUCAUGACUUAAAUAUUCUCCUCCACGAUCUGAUCGUAAGAACUUUAUUUUUGGUCACGUUGAUUCUCUACCUCAUUCUGAAAUUCCUUGAACUUUUCAAAGGUCUCAGACUUGUGUUUCAUCAAGUAGACAUACCCAUAUCUACUCAAGUCAUCAGUGAGAGUGAGAACAUAACGAUGUCCUCCGCGAGCCUCAACGCUCAUUGGACCACACACAUCAGUAUGUAUGAUUUCCAAUACGUUGGUUGCUCGCUCCAUUGUUCCGGAGAACGGAGUCUUGGUCAUUUUGCCCAUGAGGAAUGGCUCGCAUGUGUCAAAUGAUUCAUAAUCGAGAGACUCUAAAAGUCCAUCAGCAUGGAGCUUCUUCAUGCGCUUGACGCCAAUGUGACCAAGGCGGCAGUGCCACAAGUAUGUGGGACUAUCGUUAUCAACUUUACAUCUUUUGGUAUUCACACUAUGAAUAUGUGUAACAUCACGUUCGAGAUUCAUUAAGAAUAAACCAUUGACCAUCGGGGCAUGACCAUAAAACACAUCUCUCAUAUAAAUAGAAUAACCAUUAUUCUAGGAUUUAAAUGAGUAGUCAUCUCGUAUUAAACGAGAUCCAGAUACAAUGUUCAUGCUCAAAGCUGGCACUAAAUAACAAUUAUUGAGGUUUAAAACUAAUCCCGUAGGUAAAUGUAGAGGUAGCCUGCCGACGGCGAUCACAUCGACUCUGGAACCAUUCCCGAUGCGCAUCGUCACCUCGUCCUUCGCCAGUCUCUGCUUAUUCAGCAGCUCGUGCUUUGAGAUACAAAUAUGAGCAACGACACCGGUAUCAAAUACCCAGGAGCUACUAUGAGCACUGGUAAGGUACACAUCAAUUACAUGUAUAUCACAUAUACCUUUAGUGUUGCCGGCUGUCGGUGUCAAAACCGGCGGAUCUCGGGUAGGGGGUCCCGAACUGUGCGUCUAGGCGGAUGGUAACAGGAGACGAGGGACACGAUGUUUUUACCCAGGUUCGGGCCCUCUUGAUGGAGGUAAAACCCUACGUCGUACUUGAUUAAUAUUGAUGAUGUGGGUUACAAGAGUAGAUCUACCACGAGAUCAAGGAGGCUAAACCCUAGAAGCUAGCCUAUGGUAUGAUUGUUGUUCCUCCUACGGACUAAAGCCAUCCGGUUUAUAUAGACACCGGAGAGGGCUAGGGUUACACAGAGUCGGUUACAAAGGUAGGAAAUCUACAUAUCCGUAUCGCCAAGCUUGCCUUCCACGCUAAGGAAAGUCCCAUCCGGACAUGGGACGAAGUCUUCAAUCUUGUAUCUUCAUAGUCUUGGAGUCCGGCCGAUGAUGAUAGUCCGGCUAUCCGGACACCCCCUAGUCCAGGACUCCCUCACCGGCCUUCUUGUCCGCUAGGUAUUUGGGGCAGUUCCGCUUCCAGUGACCCUUCCCUUUGCAAUAAAAGCACUCAGUCUCAGGUUUGGGUCCGUUCUUCGACUUCUUCCUGGCAGCUGGCUUACCGGGCGCGGCAACUUCCUUGCCGUCCUUCUUGAUGUUCUUCUUACCCUUGCCUUUCUUGAACUUAGUGGUUUUAUUCACCAUCAACGCUUGAUGUUCCUUUUUGAUCUCUACCUCUGCUGAUUUCAGCUUUGAAUAUACUUCAGGAAUGGUCUUUUCCAUCCCCUGCAUAUUGAAGUUCAUCACAUAGCUCUUGUAGCUCGGUGGAAGUGACUGAAGGAUUCUGUCAAUAACCGCGUCAUCCGGGAGAUUAACUCCCAGCUGAGUCAAGCGGUUGUGCAACCCAGACAUUUUGAGUAUGUGCUCACUGACAGAACUAUUUUCCUCCAUCUUAGAGCUGAAGAACUUGUCAGAGACUUCAUAUCUCUCGACCCGGGCAUGAGCUUGGAAAACCAUUUUCAGCUCUUCGAACAUCUCAUAUGCUCCGUGUUGCUCAAAACGCUUUUGGAGCCCCGGUUCUAAGCUGUAAAGCAUGCCACACUGAACGAGGGAGUAAUCAUCAGCACGAUACUGCCAAGCAUUCAUGAUGUCUUGGUUCUCUGGGAUGGGAGCUUCACCUAGCGGUGCUUCUAAGAUAUAAUCUUUCUUUGCAGCUGUGAGGAUGAUCCUCAGGUUCCGAACCCAGUCCGUAUAGUUGCUGCCAUCAUCUUUCAGCUUGGUUUUCUCUAGGAACGCGUUGAAGUUCAGGUGGACAUGAGCGUUGGCCAUUUGAUCUACAAGACAUAUUUGCAAAGGUUUUUUAGACUAAGUUCAUGAUAAUUAAGUUCAUCUAAUCAAUUUAUUUAAUGAACUCCCACUCAGAUUAGACAUCCCUCUAGUCAUCUAAGUGAUACAUGAUCCGAGUCGACUAGGCCGUGUCCGAUCAUCAUGUGAGACGGACUAGUCAUCAUCGGUGAACAUCUCCAUGUUGAUUGUAUCUUCCAUACGACUCAUGUUUGACCUUUCGGUCUCUUGUGUUCCUAGGCCAUGUCUAUACAUGCUAGGCUCGUCAAGUUAACCUAAGUGUUUUGCAUGUGUAAAUCUAUCUUACACCCGUUGUAUGUGAACGUUAGAAUCUAUCACACCCGAUCAUCACGUGGUGCUUCGACACGACGAACUUUCGCAACGGUGCAUAGUUAGGGGGAACACUUUCUUGAAAUUAUUAUCAGGGAUCAUCUUAUUUACUACCGUCGUUCUAAGUAAACAAGAUGCAUAAACAUAAUAAACAUCACAUGCAAUUAAAGAGUGACAUGAUAUGGCCAAUAUCAUAUAGCUCCUUUGAUCUCCAUCUUAGGGGAUCCAUGAUCAUCUUCUUCACCGGCAUGACACCAUGAUCUCCAUCAUCAUGAUCUCCAUCAUCGUGUCUCCAUGAAGUUGCUCGCCAACUAUUACUUCUACUACUAUGGCCAAUGCUUUAGCAAUGAAGUAAAGUAAUUACUUGGCGUUAAAUCAUUGACAGGCAGGUCAUACAAUAAUUAAGACAACUCCUAUGGCUCCUGCCGGUUGUCAUACUCAUCGACAUGCAAGUCGUGAUUCCUAUUACAAGAACAUGAUCUCAUACAUCACAAUAUAUCAUUCAUCUUUCAUCACAACUUUUGGCCAUAUCACAUCCCAAAUCAUAUGAUGCAAAAACAAGUUAGACGUCCUCUAAUUGUUGUUGCAUGUUUUACGUGGUUGCAAUAGGGUUCUAGCAAGAACGUUUUCUUACCUACGUAAAAGCCACAAUGUGAUUUGUCAACUUCUAUUUACCCUUCAUAAGGACCCUUUUCAUCGAAUCCGCUCCAACUAAAGUGGGAGAGACAGACACCCGCUAGCCACCUUAUGCAACUAGUGCAUGUCAGUCAGUGGAACCCGUCUCACGUAAGCGUACGUGUAAGGUCGGUACGGGCCGCUUCAUCCCACAAUACCGCUGAAGCAAAAUAAUACUAGUAGUGGCAAGAAAGUUGACAACAUCUACGCCCACAACAAAUUUGUGUUCUACUCAUGCAAAGAGAACUACGCAUAAACCUGGCUCUGAUACCACUGUUGAGGAACGUUGCAGAAAAUAAAAAAAAUUCUACGGUUUCACCAAGAUCAAUCUAUGAGUUCAUCUACAUACCCUUGUAGAUCGAGCGGAAGCGUUCAAGAGAACAAGGUUGAGGGAGUCGUACUCGUCGUGAUCCAAAUCACCGAAGAUCCUAGCGCCGAACAGAUGACACCUCCGCGUUCAACACACAUACGGUCAGGCAGACGUCUCCUCCUUCUUGAUCCAGCAAGGGGGAAGGAGAGGUUGAUGAAGAUCCAGCAGCACGACGGUGUGGUGGUGGAUACAGCAGGGAUCCUGGUCGGGCUUCGCCAAGCGUCUGCGAGAGGGAGAGGUGUAGCAAGGGGGAAGGGAGGCGCCAAGUGCAUGGGUGCGGCUGCCCUCACUCCCUCCUCUUUAUAUAGGGCCCCUAGGGGGGCGGCGGCCCUAGGAGAUUGAAUCUCCAAGGGGGGGCGGCGGCCAAGGGGGUGCCUUGCCCCCCAAGGCAAGUGGAGGCGCCCCCACCCCUAGGGUUUCCAACCCUAGGCGCAGGGGGUCCCAAGGGGGGGCGCACCAGCCCACCAGGGGCUGGUUCCCCUCCCACUUCAGCCCAUGGGGCCUCCGUGAUAGGUGGCCCCACCUGAUGGACCCCCGGGACCCUUCCGGUGGUCCCGGUACAAUACCGGUGACCCCAAAAACUUUCCCGAUGGCCGAAACUCGACUUCCUAUAUAUAAUUCUUUACCUCCGGACCAUUCCGGAACUCCUCGUGACGUCCGGGAUCUCAUCUUGGACUCCGAACAACUUUUGGUUUACUACAUACUCAUAUCUCUACAACCCUAGCGUCACUGAACCUUAAGUGUGUAGACCCUACGGGUUCGGGAGACAUGCAGACAUGACCGAGACGCCUCUCCGAUCAAUAACCAACAGUGGGAUCUGGAUGCCCAUGUUGGCUCCCACAUGCUCCUCGAUGAUCUCAUCGUAUGAACCACGAUGUUGAGGAUUCAAAUAACCCCGUAUACAAUUCCCUUUGUCAAUCGGUAUGUUACAUGCCCGAGACUCGAUCGUCGGUAUCCCAAUACCUCGUUUAAUCUCGUUACUGGCAAGUCACUUUACUCGUACCAUAAUGCAUGAUCCCAUGACCAGACACUUGGUCACAUUGAGCUCAUUAUGAUGAUGCAUUACCGAGUGGGCCUAGAGAUACCUCUCCAUCGUACGGAGUGACAAAUCCUAGUCUCGAUUUGUGCCAACCCAACAGACACUUUCGGAGAUACCCGUAGUGCACCUUUAUAGUCACCCAGUUACGUUGUGACGUUUGGUACACCCAAAGCACUCCUACGGUAUCCGGGAGUUGCACAAUCUCAUGGUCUAAGGAAAUGAUACUUGACAUUUGGAAAAACUCUAGCUAAACAAACUACACAAUCUUUGAGCUAUGCUUAGGAUUGGGUCUUGUCCAUCACAUCAUUCUCCUAAUGAUGUGAUCCCGUUAUCAAUGAUAUCCAAUGUCCAUAGUCAGGAAACCAUGACUAUCUGUUGAUCAACGAGCAAGUCAACUAGAGGCUCGCUAGGGACAUGUUGUGGUCUAUGUAUUCACACAUGUAUUACGAUUUCCGGAUAAUACAAUUAUAGCAUGAAUAACAGACAAUUAUCAUGAACGAAGAAAUAUAAUAAUAACCAUUUUAUUAUUGCCUCUAGGGCAUAUUUCCAACAACACCAUUGUAAAGAGCAAUUUCAGUUCAUUGAAGAUUUUGUCCCUUGUGGUAGGCAUUCUUUGCAAAUUCUUUAGCUUAAUUGAUGUGCACUCGUUGUAAUUUUCAGUAGCAAGUGCAUCACGUAUUUGGUUAAUUCAUUAUUUUUUAUUUUCCAUCCAUAAUGAUAUUUGAAGACAAGGAAUUAGUAUGAGAUGCUUUGGGGGGUUCAAACACUUGGGUAAGAUUAAACACAUGUGCUGAAUUGGCAGUCCUUCAUCCAAAUUUUCUUGAUAAUGGUACACCAUUUGGCGACAAGUUCUCUACAAAACUGGUAUUUUUAUGACACAUGGCCGUGUAGCUGUGAUCAGAGAACUUGUUAAGAUAUAGUGGGAAAGGGACCAGAAAUGCGGUCUGUAUGACCGAAAACAUCCUGAACAAGUGAACAUAUGGUUGUUUAUUAUUUAUUAUGCUUUGUUUUUUAGGAAACUAUCUGAACUCUUCUGAGGGUCAAUCGUUCUCUAUUGUUUUUCUUCAGAAGUUUCUCCACGGUGGCACUUUCCACCUAGAAAGAGCAUCAAGGCCGGCGACCCCAUUUUUGUUAGGAUGGAAGAUAAAUUAUUGUUAAUUUUUUUUGAUUUCCUUUAUUCCGUAAAUGGGAAUACAAGAUAUGUUUGGGCCACAUGAUUCUAUUCCAAAAAUUUAAACAACUUAGCAAUUAAUGGUGCAUCUGUUAUGUAUUUGUUUAUAAUGAGCUCGACUAUUUUGCAACAUAUACUGCAUUUCCAGGGGUAACCCUUUUGGUUAUUUAUUUUUUCGCUAUGCUCUCUGAAGAUCAGAUUUUGGCCAUAUAGUUUCCGAUGACUAGAAGUCUAAAACUGAUGAUAGGGCAGAUUGUUUUGAUUCUGAUUACUUGGAGAUCUUGUGGUUUGCUGUCCCUGGAUCAGUCAGACCUAUGGCAGCAUCAACUCGUUGAUCCUAGAGGCCAUGGUUCUCGAGGUAAGAAAUAUAAGCACACUAGAGAGAAUCCAUGUGCCAUAUGAACAAAUCUCUUUCUCAUCGAUGCAAUCUUUUCAUUUAAAAUAAUAAUGAGCCUAGCCAACUCGCAUGGAGAAGGAUCCCCCGAUCGCUUCCUUCGAUGGCCGUUCAAUCGUGGUCAAACUGGUCUUUAGUUUGCUUCCCAUCUUGCUUCCAUGUUGGCUGCUGACUUAGAUGUCAUGCUACUUAGCUCAUUAGUUUGCUUCCCAUAUUGCUUCCAUAUUUUUUCUUCACCAUGUUAUCUUUAGCCUUCCACGCCACUGAUUUGGUUGGUUUAUUUCCUUGCAUAGUUCUCCUUGUUUGCCACUGAUAAAUACAAUGAUUAUGUGAUGUAUGUACUUAUUGUUUUAGCUAAUGCGUCUCUUCUAUUAUUAUUAUCAUCCUCUAUGGUUAAUCACACAUUUCAUUGUUGUGCUUCGGAGUCUAUGGUGUACUGCAUGCAACAUUAUACAAUCCGCAAUGGUUAAUAAAACUAAAUAUGAUAGCAAAUGAAAACUAUUGUGAUGCAUUGAACUGUGAUGGAAACAUAACAAAAGGCGUACAAUAACUUCAAACUUUAUUCCACUAACCAGAUGUGUCAAAUUUAUUGUACAAUAUGUUCUAAAUUUAUUCCACUGACAAGAUGUGUCAAAUUUAUUCAAUGUUUUUUGUAUUUUGGUCGAUGCAGUCCCAGGACUAACGUUGGAAUAUUCAUGUGUUAUAUGCCAAUAUAGAUUUCUCAAUGUAUCAUUUUGGCACUGUUUGACUGCUGAACAAUAUUUCCAUGCUGAUCAUUUCUCAUGUCUUUGUAAUUUUUGGUCUUUGUUUUGAUUUUGUUGUGUGGUGUGCUUUUAUCUAGGUGAGUUGAGUUGCUGCUUGGUUGGAGAUGUUGAUGUCGUUCGAGACGCCCGCUGGAUUCACACUUUUCAAGGUUCUGAAUAAGGGCAAGCUCGACAAGGUCAAUGUGAGUGUUCGUCACCACCUGAGCUCUUGGUUUGGUUUGGAUUACUCGUGUUUUUUUAUUUUCACUACAAAAUAACUUCUCUUUUCAACACACUUAGUACAUGACCUAGCAAUCACAUUAUAAUAGAGUAAGUGAGAAAAAGCUCUUUAUUUAAAUGACCAAGAAUCCACGGUGUGCUCCUGAACUGCAAGGAACACUCCACUACGAAACUCACUUAAGCAGGCUGAUAGAUCGAUGCUAAUUCUGUUAUUAUUAUUUUUCUUGCCUAAGCGCCGAACAAGCACUCUUGCAUUGGAGAUGCCCUGAUUAGCUUCUUCUACAAAUUUGUCCCAAUGCAAUUAGUAGGCUAACAUAUUCAAAAAAUGAAAUUUUGAAUGACAUAUAGCAGGAUAUGCAUGUAUUCCUACUCCUAUCUUAUAUGGACAAAUAGAUCUAACAGCUGGCUUGCUUGCUUGCAGUGGUACAGGUAUGAUCUUCAUGGAGCUAGCCAUCAUUGGAUUUGGUAAUACAUAAUCACUUAUUCAGAGAGCCCAAGGUGAGAAGGGACGACCAUCUAGAACACCGCCACCUACUAAUCAGUGAGCUACUAUAUGUCUUUGAAUGAGUUACUUAACAAGAUAAGGCAGGUAGCCAUAGAACACGUGCAAUCUCAAUGUUUACUAAUUAUCUAUUUCUGAAUUUAUUCGUUCCCAACUGCUCUGAAUCUGGGUGCUUUUCUUGCUGCUUUGUAGGAGUUUCCUACCUUUCUUCUGCAAAUCUGGAAUGCCUUUAUGGCAUGAUCAUGUGAAAAAGUACCUUGAUGCAGUAAUGGAUUUGAUUAUCACUGGUUACUCUGUUUUCACGAAUUACUAUCCAACUGUAAGUCUGUUCUAUACCCUAAGGCCCAUGUAAAUCUGAUAGAAGAUUAAGCUAUUUAAUUUUAACUAAAAAGGAUAAUAUUCUUUCAGUCGCUUGAAUCUGUCCAGACCUGAAAAAUUAUUAUACUUUGAAAGAUUGAUAUAUGAGUAUGUAAUUUUACAGGUAUGUAAAUACCAAACAAUAUUAUUAUUCAAAUGUGCUCGAGCCGGGUUUUCGGUGUUUCAUUGCAACCAAAAGAAUUAGUAAUAUUGUUUUGAUGAAAACAGGGUCGCACUUGUCAGUGUUGUAUAAUAGGAUUUUUAAUUAGUGGCAUAGGAAUUUUUCCCUAAGAUCCACUAUGAAGUUGAUUGAAAGUCCAUUUUCCCUAAGAUUCACUAUGACAAUGAAAAACAUUUCUGAAAACUGUGUCACCAUAAAUGUUCCAUCAUUGUCCAUAGCAGUCCCAUGCGGAAAAAAAAUCCUAUACGACCAAGUCGUAUGGACCCGAUCGUGAGACCCACUCCAGCACUCGCCAACUGUCCGUCCGAAUCUUAAUGCAACAGGCGUCUCCUUCCUCGCUUCCAUGUUUCACUCCUUAUCUCCUCCAAUGCACCCAAAAUCCAGCCGCUGGUCAUGCCAUUCUCGCCACCGCCCGACGGCACAGCGCACCCGCACCACUUUCCCCUGGGAGCCUUGCCACCAAUGGUGCCGGGCGCGGUGGUCGCCCCCGCCUCGUCCACCCUUCCCUGUUUGCAAAUCCAGAUUGAAACUCAAACCAUUUAUUCUGCUAGAUAUGCUUGUACUGAAAUUAUUAUCUUAUACAUUAACAGAGCAUGGAAGAACCAAAAGGUAGUUGAUCAGCGGGAUGGCAAGAGGAAGACAAGAACCAAAUUAAGUUUGUUGCUAUGCAUGUCUGUAUCUAUCAAGAUUCAGUGCUAUGUAGAAAUGUCCCUGAGAUUUGUUUCACUCAAGGAGACCAAACAAUCAGGAACACAAGUAGGAUAGUUGAUGAUUUUUUCAUUUUUCUUCUGGUAAAAAGGAAUCUUCCACUACUAGGGAAAAGGCUAGCACCAGCACGGGUUCUAGGUGUAUCAGUAGCGCGGGGUGGGGUGCUACUAAUAAGGCGCUACAGCUAACAUAUAGUAGUAGCGCGUGGUCACCGGCGCUACUGCUACACAAGUGUAGCAGCAGCGCGGUUACUGGGAGCACGCUACUGCUAGUAGCUCUAGCGCCCUUUGUAGCAACGCGCUACUGCUAUAGCGGCGCUGCUGCUAACUUCUAUACACUGGCUACUGCUAAUUUAACAUGUUUUUUGUUUUUUUGGGCAUAUUUGUUUUGUAUUUGAAUAGGCUUUAUAGAAGAAUCUUUAGCACAUAGAAAUGUCAUCAUGAUACACAUACAAAUGCCUGCGAAACCACGAAUAUAAUCAUAGCAUAUAUAUACAAAUAGUCUCAUCAUAAUCAUCAUCUAACACAAAGUGGUCUCUCAUCAUCAUCUCGAAAAUAGCGAUACAAGUCCUUGAUUACUUGCAAAUACAUCGUCAUCCAUCUAAACAAUUUCGGCAUGACCUUUGUAAAAACUGGACAAAUCGAGAACCUGAAAUUUGCCGGAACAGAAAUGAAUCAACAUUCCGGCAAAACAUAGGCCACUCAGCAUCAUUCCCUGGAAACAACAAAGCCACUUGGGCACAAUCGAACAACUUCAAUGAAAUGAUAUAACAUGAGCAAACACUAUUGAGGAAUUUGCAUAUAACAUGUCCACUUCAAUGAAAAGAUAUAAUCAACAAUAAUGAAAUAUGCAAAUGAACAUCAAUGACAUAUAGCUACUGUUCUGUUUGACCAAGUUUUUGAAAAGAAAAACAAUUCUGUUUUUUGUUUAUAGCUAAAUGCCAUAGCUACCUUUUUAAUUUAUAGCUAAAUACUUUUGUUUUUUGUCU